GCUGGCAUCAUCUGUGUAAGAAUCGUGAUGGCAGGAGAAAUCAAGUGAUGCGGAGUUAAUAGCGCACCGAUGAACGCGUGGGAGAGACUCCUAUCUCAUUACAUUCGACAACUUCAUCCGGUGCCUGGAUGCCAAAGAAUAAACAUCGUGAAUGGUAAGUUAUACCUAAAUAUUAACUCAUAAUUACAGUACUUAUUGUGU
RNAcentral lists this long non-coding RNA (201 nucleotides) under Sinocyclocheilus anshuiensis. RNAcentral's name for it is "lncRNA (ENSSANG00000042711.1)". The record is from RNAcentral. Lineage: Eukaryota; Metazoa; Chordata; Actinopteri; Cypriniformes; Cyprinidae.